UCUAGAUCGAUAGUGCUCGUCAAGGAAAAUCUAUUGAGCCCAAACACGAUGGAGUUAUGAUGAGUAGAUUAGGAUAGAUUAGGAUUUCUGGUGACCAACUCCUGACUCCAUCAUGAGAACCUGGACUUCAUCUAGAUCAAUGGUGCUCGUCGGGGCAAAUCUAUUGAGCCCAAACACGAUGGAGUUAUGAUGAGUAGAUUAGAACAUCUGGUGACCAUCUCAUGAUGGAGUCAGGAGCUGGUCACCAGAAGGGUCUCAUGACCCUGGACCUCAUUUAGAUAGAUGGUGCUCGUCGAGGCAAAUCGAUUGAGCCCAAACACGAUGGAGUGAUAAUGAGUAGAUUAGGAGUUCUGGUGACCAACUCCUGACUCCAUCAUGAGAACCUGGACUUCAUCUAGAUCGAUGGUGCUCGUCGGGGCAAAUCUAUUGAGCCCAAACACGAUGGAGUUAUUAUGAGUAGAUUAGAACAUCUGGUGACCAUUACUGACUCCAUCAUGAGAACCUGGACUUCAUCUAGAUCGAUGGUGCUCGUCGGGGCAAAUCUAUUGAGCCCAAACACGAUGGAGUUAUUAUGAGUAGAUUAGAACAUCUGGUGACCAUCUCAUGAUGGAGUCAGGAGUUGGUCACCAGAAGGGUCUCAUGACCCUGGACCUCAUCUAGAUAGAUGGUGCUCGUCGAGGCAAAUCGAUUGAGCCCAAACACGAUGGACUUAUGAUGAGUAAAUUAGGACUUCUGGUGACCAUCUCAUGAUGGAGUCAGAAGUUGGUCACCAGAAGGGUCUCAUGACCCUGGACCUUAUCUAGAUAGAUGGUGCUCGUCAGGGCAAAUCAUUUGAACCCAAACACGAUGGAGUGUUAAUGAGUAGAUUAGGAGUUCUGGUGACCAACUCCUGACUCCAUCAUGAGAACCUGGACCUCAUCUAGAUCGAUGGUGUUCGUCAAGGAAAAUCUAUUGAGCCCAAACACGAUGGAGUUAUGAUGAGUAGAUUAGGAGUUCGGUGACCAUUCCUGACUCCAUCAUGAGAACCUGGACAUCAUCCAGGUCGUCCGGGUAUAAUAAAAAUGCAAACCCUAACCAGAAUUCAAGUAACACUGAAAAUCUAUCACAUAAGCGAGAGUCGGUUGUUAAAAUUAAAUAUGGUGUAAAAAAUGUACACCCUUGGAUCAAGAUUUUCUAAUCAUAGUAUACAGCACUUCUCGGAACUCUCUCGAUGGUUACGAAAGCAACGAACGCCUGACGGUCGAGCACAGGUCCGUCCCCUAAGCGCACUCGGCGGAGACUGAGCGCGCGGUGUCGGUGCAGCGUGAUUUAUACGUCUUUAAAAAAAUAUAGAUUUACGGCUAGGUAGGUCCUAUAGUUAUGAUUUUUUUUUAUGAGUAGACAUAAAGUUACAAUUUGAUAAAAUAUUAUUUUUGGGGCAAAAUAUAAGUCCAAUUUGCGAUAAAAAAAUGUAAUGUAACCCUGUUUUCACCAAAAAAAUGAAGAAAACUCGGAAGGUUUUUUAUCAAUAUUUUAAAAUGAAUCUUCGAUUUUCAAGCAUGUCAGCCCCUCGUACAAGAUAUGGUGAGUUGAAUUGUAAUCAUUCAUGUACCAAAUGAUUCUUGUUUACUGCAAAAUUGAGAACCGAAACGACCCUUCUCACUGCAAAAUUUGAAAAAGACUCCUAAGAAAACUCAUU
This is a long non-coding RNA of Cydia splendana, 1678 nucleotides long. RefSeq lists it as uncharacterized. The transcript has 2 exons. Lineage: Eukaryota; Metazoa; Arthropoda; Insecta; Lepidoptera; Tortricidae. The record is from RefSeq and is a predicted model, not a curated record.